RNAcentral lists this ribosomal RNA (844 nucleotides) under uncultured crenarchaeote. RNAcentral describes it as "bacterial SSU rRNA". It matches the Rfam family "Archaeal small subunit ribosomal RNA", at positions 1 to 819 of the family's 1478-position model. The record is from RNAcentral. Lineage: Archaea; Thermoproteati; Thermoproteota.
UCCGGUUGAUCCUGCCGGACCCCACUGCUAUCGGGAUGGGACUAAGACAUGCUAGUCGUGCGCCUCCAAGCCACGGUGGAGGCGCGGCGCACAGCUCAGUAACACGUGGCUAACCUACCCUUGGGACGGAAAUAACCCCGGGAAACUGGGGCUAAUUUCCGAUAGGUGAAGACUCCUGGAAUGGGUCUUCGCCCAAAGGGCGUUUAGACCAUGCUUCUAAGCGCCGCCCAAGGAUGGGGCCGCGGCCGAUCAGGUUGUUGGUGAGGUAACGGCUCACCAAGCCUAUAACCGGUACGGGCCGUGGGAGCGGGAGCCCGGAGAUGGGCACUGAGACAAGGGCCCAGGCCCUACGGGGCGCAGCAGUCGCGAAAACUCCGCAAUACACGAAAGUGUGACGGGGCCAUCCCGAGUGCCAUCCGCUGAGGAUGGCUUUUCCCCAGUGUAGACAGCUGGGGGAAUAAGGAGAGGGCAAGUCGGGUGUCAGCCGCCGCGGUAAUACCCGCUCUCCGGGUGGUGGGGACGCUUAUUGGGCCUAAAGCAUCCGUAGCCGGUUGGAUAAGUCCCCUGUUAAAUCCAGCGAUUCAAUCGCUGGACUGCGGGGGAUACUGUCCAGCUAGGGGGUGGGAGAGGCCGACGGUAUUCCCGGGGUAGGGGUGAAAUCUUAUAAUCCCGGGAGGACCACCAGUGGCGAAGGCUGUCGGCUAGAACGCGCCCGACGGUGAGGGGUGAAAGCUGGGGGAGCGAACCGGAUUAGAUACCCGGGUAGUCCCAGCUGUAAACGAUGCAGGCUAGGUGUUAACGCGGCUACCUGCCGCGUUUAGUGCCCGCAGGGAAGCCGUUUAAG